RNAcentral lists this ribosomal RNA (253 nucleotides) under uncultured bacterium. RNAcentral describes it as "partial 16S ribosomal RNA". It matches the Rfam family "Bacterial small subunit ribosomal RNA", at positions 524 to 776 of the family's 1533-position model. The record is from RNAcentral.
UACGUAGGGAGCAAGCGUUGUUCGGAUUUACUGGGCGUAAAGGGAGCGUAGGCGGCGCGGUAAGUCAGAUGUGAAAUCCCGGGGCUCAACCCCGGAACUGCAUCCGAUACUGCCGUGCUUGAGGGUUGGAGAGGUAGCUGGAAUUAUCGGUGUAGCAGUGAAAUGCGUGGAUAUCGAUAGGAACACUCGUGGCGAAGGCGAGCUACUGGACAACAACUGACGCUGAGGCUCGAAGGCUAGGGGAGCAAAAGGG